Molecule: long non-coding RNA, 536 nt
Organism: Felis catus (domestic cat)
Lineage: Eukaryota; Metazoa; Chordata; Mammalia; Carnivora; Felidae
Exons: 4
Source: RefSeq, a predicted model, not a curated record
GCUUAACCGACUGCGCCACCCAGGCGCCCCUAACUAAGUGUUCUUUAUUCAAACUGUAACUCAAGUGGAGGGCAGCUCAAAUGCAUUUUUAGACCCCACAAUUAAGUGGUGAUAAUAGAAGUGGAGGCUAGACAGUGGCCAUGGUGGAAGUGAGCAGACAUCUAUUUGUCAAAUGACAAGGUAAGAAAAAAAGCUACCCAAGCCACUGAAUGCAUGCAGCAGGAAGAAGCAAGUACACUACUGUGAAGCUUGAACAGAAAUUAGAGCCUGCAAGGACUUGGAAGAUGCAGAAAUAAUCAUUUCAACCACGGCUCGAUUCAAUUCACUGUUUGGUCUGUUUGGAAGACAGGCUGAUCUUGGAGAAUGAAAGUGGAUUACUGUAAACUUAAUCUGGUAGUAAAUCCAGCAGCUCUCCCUUUCCAGAUGAAAUUUUGUCACUGGAGAAAAUCAAUACACCUUCUGGCAUUUGGUAAUUAUUGACCUAUUGAAUGCUUUUUUUUCUCUAUACUAAUUAAUAAAAUUGUUAACAAAACCAA